GAUCCGCUGAAUGGGAAACACAAUGGCUGUGUAGCGUCCGGCCYGASGCSGACAUGCGCGGGAGUGUGGUGUAAACCGGUGGUGGCCGUGCAGAAGCACGGUGCCGGUCCCGCCGCCUUGUUGGAUCUGUCGGUGUCCUCGGACUGGAUCAGUACUCCCGUCGGCGACGCCCACCUUCGGAUGGUCUCCCGACCCGUCUUGAAACACGGACCAAGGAGUCUAACAUGUGCGCGAGUCAUUGGGUAGCACUAAACCUAAAGGCGCAAUGAAAGUGAAGGCCUUUUUUGUGUGGACGGCCGAGGGAAGAUGGUACUGGGUUUCCUGGUUCCUUGUGUUCCAGGGCCCGGCCCGCAUUCCCGGGGCGUCUCGUCCUCAUUGCGAGGGGAGGCGCACCUAGAGCGUACACGUUGGGACCCGAAAGAUGGUGAACUAUGCCUGGCCAGGACGAAGUCAGGGGAAACCCUGAUGGAGGUCCGUAGCGAUUCUGACGUGCAAAUCGAUCGUCGGAGCUGGGUAUAGGGGCGAAAGACUAAUCGAACCAUCUAGUAGCUGGUUCCCUCCGAAGUUUCCCUCAGGAUAGCUGUCACUCGGAGGAAAAUGAAAUGAGUCUCAUACGGUAAAGCGAAUGAUUAGAGGCCUUGGGGCCGAAACGACCUCAACCUAUUCUCAAACUUUAAAUGAGCCGGAGGCGGAUCACGAGUGCCAAGUGGGCCACUUUUGGUAAGCAGAACUGGCGCUGUGGGAUGAACCAAACGCCGAGUUAAGGCGCCUGAAUCGACGCUCAUGGGAAACCAUGAAAGGCGUUGGUUGCUUAAGACAGCAGGACGGUGGCCAUGGAAGUCGGAAUCCGCUAAGGAGUGUGUAACAACUCACCUGCCGAAGCAACUAGCCCUGAAAAUGGAUGGCGCUGAAGCGUCGUGCCUAUACUCGGCCGUCAGCGGCAUUGGGAGUGGUCGGGGCCUCGGUCCCGGCGCUCGAAGAAGCCCUGACGAGUAGGAGGGUCGUGGCGGUGAGCGCAGAAGGGCAGUGGCGUGAGCCUGCCUGGAGCCGCCGUCGGUGCAGAUCUUGGUGGUAGUAGCAAAUACUCCAGCGAGGACCUGGUGGGCUGAUGCGGAGCAGGGUUUCGUGUGAACAGCUGUUGCACACGAUUCAGUCGAUCCUAAGCCCUAUGUGAAAACUGAUGCCGAUGGGUGGUCGAAAGGUGUUGGCCGAUACCCCCGGCGGGCGAAAGGGAAUCCGGUUCCUAUUCCGGAACCCGGCAGCGGAACCGUUCCGAUUCGGGCCCUCGCGAGAGUGUUCGUCGGGGUAACCCAAAAGGACCCGGAGACGCCGUCGGGAGAUCUGGGGAGAGUUUUCUUUUCUGUAUGAGCGUUCGAGUUCCCUGGAAUCCUCUAGCAGGGAGAUAGGGAAUGGGACGCGAAGAGCACCGCAGUUGCGGCGGUGUCCAGAUCUUCCCCUCGGACCUUGAAAAUCCGGGAGAGGGCCACGCGGAGCAUUCGCGCCGGUUCG
RNAcentral lists this ribosomal RNA (1509 nucleotides) under Pachymorpha sp. SAT-2008. RNAcentral describes it as "eukaryotic LSU rRNA". It matches the Rfam family "Eukaryotic large subunit ribosomal RNA", at positions 580 to 1845 of the family's 3401-position model. Lineage: Eukaryota; Metazoa; Arthropoda; Insecta; Phasmatodea; Diapheromeridae. The record is from RNAcentral.